GGGGAUAUAGCUCAAUGGUAGAGCAGUUGCCUGGCAUGCAGUAGACCCUGGGUUUAAUCCCCAGCACCA
This 69-nucleotide transfer RNA is filed under the name Ictidomys tridecemlineatus (thirteen-lined ground squirrel). RNAcentral describes it as "Spermophilus tridecemlineatus (thirteen-lined ground squirrel) tRNA". It matches the Rfam family "tRNA". From Rfam's summary of the family: Transfer RNA (tRNA) molecules are approximately 80 nucleotides in length. Their secondary structure includes four short double-helical elements and three loops (D, anti-codon, and T loops). Lineage: Eukaryota; Metazoa; Chordata; Mammalia; Rodentia; Sciuridae. The record is from Rfam by way of RNAcentral.